This 1288-nucleotide long non-coding RNA is filed under the name Apteryx owenii (little spotted kiwi). RNAcentral's name for it is "lncRNA (ENSAOWG00000010644.1)". The record is from RNAcentral. Lineage: Eukaryota; Metazoa; Chordata; Aves; Apterygiformes; Apterygidae.
CUUUCCAUCACGGGCGGUGGCAUUUGACUCUCUUCUGGGCUCGUCCAGAGCAUCAGAGCUACAUGGUUGUGGCAUCGUACGGCUUUCUGGCCGGCAGUUUCUUAUGCGUAAGAAUAGUUCUCUUUGCGUAGGACUCUCCUCCAUGUUUGUGUCUGAUAUUUGUGUGUAUGUCUGUCUGUUUGGGGCUGGAGCUGCUUUGCCUGUGGGUGUUAGCAGUGGUAAUGUGCAGAGUGUGGCAGUGAUGAACUGGAAUGAUGAUUAGUGAGCUUCUGUGUGCUCCACCUUAUGUUAUUUUUGUAGAUGUGGUGCAGCAUUCCCAGCGGGCCCGAGGGAGAUGGAGGAAGAAAGGGUCAUGCCCCAGGAAGGUGAGCUAGAGAUUUGUUGCUGGAAGCAGAGUCUUGUGGUCAGCAGUUCCCUGGUUAAUUUUUGCUUUGUGCUUGUAGGUGUGGAGCAACGUGGAGAGUGGGUCGCUUGCAUGCAGGAGGAGCACGGCAAGGUGGGUGGCAGGCCUUGGCGUGGUGACCUGUAGGCCAUGGCGGUCAGGAUGGGCGUGCAGAGCAGGUUUUGCUGGAAGUUGUGGAGAGGAAGUUGAGUGCUGACAAGAGCCUGAGCAGGUGAGAGGAGGUGCUUGUUGGGUCAGAGGUUUCUUGUGCCAUGGGUGGUGCUGGGCUGCCUGUUGGUGAUGGCUUUAGCUCUGCUUUUUCAGGUACUGCGUGGGCCUUUCCCAGGCAUGGUUGAGGAUGUCAGGUGAGCAGACUGGUGUUGGGCGUUGUAGGGCUGGUGAGCACUGCCUAGCAGAAGAGUCACUUUGUUAUUUUGUUUUUUGCAGGUGCUGCGGGCUCCCUCUGGGCACAAUGUUGGAGUUGGGAAUUGGCACAGUGCAGGUGAGAAGAGUGCCCAUGGGGUUUUGACGUAGAGUGCUCUUGCAGACGAGGCUGGAGCUGACUGGCCUGGGGGUGACCGCUUGCGCUCCAUUUUGGCAGGUGAUGAAGGUGAAUGUGGUGACCGGAGGAAGAUCAGAGAGGAUGCGGCUGUCAUUGAGAAUGUGUCUUGAAGACAGAUGGUGACCCAGAGCACUGCAGAAGCUAAGUUGAGGGGCCCUGGGUGUUGGUAUGUCUUGACUGUGUGUGUGUGCGUGUAUGCACUGACAGUGAGUGUAGAGUGGAGGGCUGUUCUGGAUGAAUGCUUUGUGUGAGGCAGAGGUGAUGGGGUGUGCAUGGCAGAAGGUGAGGGUGUUCUAGGCGGGGCAGCUCCAGCCUGUGUCUGUGUUGUUGUGUAGUCUAUGUGG